This 155-nucleotide ribosomal RNA is filed under the name uncultured bacterium. Its description in RNAcentral is "partial 16S ribosomal RNA". It matches the Rfam family "Bacterial small subunit ribosomal RNA", at positions 355 to 507 of the family's 1533-position model. The record is from RNAcentral.
UAGGGAAUAUUGGGCAAUGGGCGGAAGCCUGACCCAGCCACGCCGCGUGCAGGAAGACGGCCCUCUGGGUUGUAAACUGCUUUUGAUUGGGAAGAAAGCAGCUCAUGCGUGAGAAUUUGACGGUACCAAUCGAAUAAGCCACGGCUAACUACGUG